CUUCCCAAACCAGGGAUCAAACCCACGAAUCCUGCGUCUCCUGCAUUGGCAGGCAGAUUCUUUAUCGUUGAGCCACCUGAGAAGCCUUUCGUGUAUAUGUACAGCGUAUCAAAUCUAGGAGGUACAAAACGGGAGAGUGAAAAGUAAUAUUCUUUCCCAUAAUUCUCUUCAUAACUCUGUUUCCUCUCUUCAUAAGUCACCAUGGUAACAACGUGUAUCCAAGUGAUUAAUACACAUGUGUAUCUAUAUAUACUAGUGUAUGCAUAAUUUUCACUGAUGUAUCACUAUUGUCUAUUUUUUAAAAUAUAUUAUUCAUGCCAGAAUAUCUUUUUUUCAGGGUCGCUUUUUAAAUACAUUAGUGUAGUGGAAUGUUUUCUUUUAAUAAUUUGUAUUUCAUUCAACACAGAAGGAAUCAUCCUUAUCAAAAAAGAGAGAGUGAAUUAGACGAAAAUGGGUAAUCCGCAGGGAAAUGGUAGCAUGUGCAGCUAGAGGUAAAUCACAAAUAUCCACUAUGUAAACAGUAAACCUGUUGGGCCAGUUGUUACCCAGACACAAGCCAUUUUUCGUUUGCUUUUAUCAAUAAUAAAUGCAGUCCCCCAUCAGCUGGACCUCAAGACUUCUGCCUACACUGCAAGAGAUCUUGCUAAAUGGACAGAAACUGCCAGGCUGAGCAAGUGUACUGAAAACAUUUACAUAUUGAAACCCGCAGCAAUUUGGCUACGUGUUUAAGAGUGCUGGUCCCUGAAGGUUCCAGUUGAAUCCUUGUGCUCUUCACUGACCAGGAGCGGCUUUAUUGUGCCUGUGAUGCUGGACAGGUCUUAAAACGAGUCACAACAGUCCCUCCGUGGUCAACAGUCUACUGUUCCGCUGUCUCAAAUCCAUUUGCGAUGGCUGUAAAACGCCGCCCGCUGAUGCAAGCUGUAAAUCUUGCCCUCUCAUUCAAAAAGGCUGACAAGAGAGAAACAGCUUGAGUUUUCACCCCAGCCUGGCAAAGUCGAGAUCCUGCUGUGCCUGCUUGA
Molecule: long non-coding RNA, 1019 nt
Filed under: Capra hircus (goat)
Lineage: Eukaryota; Metazoa; Chordata; Mammalia; Artiodactyla; Bovidae
Description: lncRNA (ENSCHIG00010031515.1)
Source: RNAcentral